CAGCCGCCACGGGAACACGUAGGGUGCAAGCGUUAAUCGGAAUUACUGGGCGUAAAGCGUGCGCAGGCGGUUAUAUAAGUCAGAUGUGAAAUCCCCGGGCUCAACCUGGGAACUGCAUUUAAGACUGUAUGGCUAGAGUGUGUCAGAGGGGGGUAGAAUUCCACGUGUAGCAGUGAAGUGCGUAGAUAUGUGGAGGAAUACCGAUGGCGAAGGCAGCCCCCUGGGAUAACACUGACGCUCAUGCACGAAAGCGUGGGGAGCAAACAGGAUUAGAUACCCGAGUAGUCCCUGUCUCUUAUAC
Molecule: ribosomal RNA, 301 nt
Filed under: uncultured bacterium
Lineage: Bacteria
Description: partial 16S ribosomal RNA
Rfam family: Bacterial small subunit ribosomal RNA
Source: RNAcentral